Pyronema omphalodes CBS 100304 is the source of this 72-nucleotide non-coding RNA. The record is from Rfam. NCBI's taxonomy places the organism in Eukaryota, Fungi, Ascomycota, Pezizomycetes, Pezizales, Pyronemataceae.
GGUUUUAUAGUGUAGUGGUUAGCACUUCGGAUUCUGAUUCCGGCAACCCCGGUUCGACUCCGGGUAAGACCU